AAUGGCAAGAUGUGGUCUGUGCCGGCAGCAAAUGAGAAAUAAAUCCAUCAAGGCCAAGCUCAGGCUGAUUUUGAAGCAGCUGCUGGAAUUUGCAUAAGAGCCUGGUACACACAGGAGAGUGUCUGGGGUGUUCCCCUAGGGAAAAUUGGGGAACAAAGAGCAUGGUGAGUGGAUUUAGAAGAGCAAAAGCAGAAGGAGUCCAUUAUAUCUUGUCUUGAAGCUUUAAUGAUUUUUUUUUUUUUAAAUUUUUGGCUGAACCCCUUGGUGGGGGAAUCAAACCCACACUGCUUGCAUUGGGAGGUGGAGUUGUAACCACUGGAUUCCUGGGGAAGUCUCCUUAAAUGAAAUCGUUAAUAGAGCUGCAUCUAUCACAAACUUGCUGGGGAAAGUAACUUCAUCUCUAUUAUAUCUCGUUUCUCUUUCUCAAAAAUUAAAAGAUUAGACCCAUGAACUUUGUCAUAUCUAAUUUAUACUAAGUGUAUUUCUUAAAGUCUUAAAUUAUAUUAUUAUAGUAUGAUAUUACAAAUAAAAUGUGUUGAAGAAAAA
RNAcentral lists this long non-coding RNA (546 nucleotides) under Bos indicus x Bos taurus (hybrid cattle). Its description in RNAcentral is "lncRNA (ENSBIXG00005010868.1)". The record is from RNAcentral. Lineage: Eukaryota; Metazoa; Chordata; Mammalia; Artiodactyla; Bovidae.